This 763-nucleotide ribosomal RNA is filed under the name uncultured bacterium. RNAcentral's name for it is "bacterial SSU rRNA". It matches the Rfam family "Bacterial small subunit ribosomal RNA", at positions 65 to 835 of the family's 1533-position model. The record is from RNAcentral.
AGAAUGAGAGCUUCGGCAGGAAUUUUUCUUAUCUUUUAGGCGGACGGGUGAGUAACGUGUGGGCAACCUGCCCUGCACUGGGGAAUAAUCAUUGGAAACGAUGACUAAUACCGCAUACGGUUCCUGGGAGGCAUCUUCCGGGAAAGAAAGGAUUUAUUCGGUGCAGGAUGGGCCCGCAUCUGAUUAGCUAGUUGGUGAGAUAACAGCCCACCAAGGCGACGAUCAGUAGCCGACCUGAGAGGGUGACCGGCCACAUUGGGACUGAGACACGGCCCAAACUCCUACGGGAGGCAGCAGUGGGGAAUAUUGCACAAUGGGCGAAAGCCUGAUGCAGCAACGCCGCGUGAAGGAAGAAGGGUUUCGGCUCGUAAACUUCUAUCAACAGGGACGAAAGAAAUGACGGUACCUGAAUAAGAAGCCCCGGCUAACUACGUGCCAGCAGCCGCGGUAAUACGUAGGGGGCAAGCGUUAUCCGGAAUUACUGGGUGUAAAGGGUGAGUAGGCGGCAUGGUAAGCCAGAUGUGAAAGCCUUGGGCUUAACCCGAGGAUUGCAUUUGGAACUAUCAAGCUAGAGUACAGGAGAGGAAAGCGGAAUUCCUAGUGUAGCGGUGAAAUGCGUAGAUAUUAGGAAGAACACCAGUGGCGAAGGCGGCUUUCUGGACUGAAACUGACGCUGAGGCACGAAAGCGUGGGGAGCAAACAGGAUUAGAUACCCUGGUAGUCCACGCAGUAAACGAUGAAUACUAAUUGUUCGGGUCAAAUG